CUUGAUGGAGCCGAGCCGCAGCGGCCGGUCCUCGGGGCGGUCCUGUCCGUAGGUGGCGAGGAGUGCCUGCGCCUC
Molecule: non-coding RNA, 75 nt
Organism: Streptomycetaceae bacterium MP113-05
Lineage: Bacteria; Bacillati; Actinomycetota; Actinomycetes; Kitasatosporales; Streptomycetaceae
Rfam family: ASpks TB sRNA
Source: Rfam